This 1275-nucleotide small RNA is filed under the name Pongo abelii (Sumatran orangutan). RNAcentral's name for it is "processed transcript". The record is from RNAcentral. Lineage: Eukaryota; Metazoa; Chordata; Mammalia; Primates; Hominidae.
UGGAAAAGCCUUCAGACAGAGUUCAGCUCUCAUUCAACAUCAGAGAAUGCAUACUGGAGAAAGACCCUAUAAGUGUAACGAAUGUGACAAAACAUUCAGAUGUAACUCAUCGCUUAGUAAUCACCAGAGAAUUCAUACUGGAGAGAAACCAUAUCGAUGUUUAGAAUGUGGGAUGUCUUUUGGCCAAAGUGCAGCUCUUAUACAACAUCAGAGGAUUCACACAGGAGAAAAACCCUUUAAAUGUAAUACAUGUGGAAAAACUUUUAGACAAAGCUCAUCACUUAUUGCACAUCAAAGAAUUCAUACUGGAGAGAAACCCUAUGAAUGUAAUGCAUGUGGGAAACUCUUUAGCCAGAGGUCAUCCCUUACUAAUCAUUAUAAAAUUCACAUUGAAGAGGACUCCUUAAAAGCCGAUUUGCAUGUGUGAAAGCCUUAAACCAAAACUCAUCAGAGAAUACAUGCUUGAGAGUGAUUUAUUAAAUAUAAUGAAUAUGAGAAAACUCUUAGUUCUUAUCAGAUACUAAGUUUUAAGAAUAAACUUUAGCUGUGUAAUAACUAUGGGGAAAGCUUUUAUAGUUGUCACUCACUUUUUAAAAUACCUGAGACAGUUCACUGUUGCAGACAUUGAAAUUGGCCAUUUGUAAGAUAAAAGAAUACAAAUGGAGAGAUUUGCAUGGGAUGCAGAAAUAUGGAAGACUAACCAAGCAAACCAGGAGAGACCAGCAAUAGUGUCCCAGAGACCAUGAUGUCUGAGCCCAGUUUUGGAAGAAUAGUAGGCUGGGCAUGGUGGCUCACACCUGUAAUCCCAGCACUUUGGGAGGCCAAGACAAGAGGAUUGCUUGAGCCCAGGAGUUCGAGACCAGCCUGAGCAACAACAACAACAACAAAAUUAGCCAGGCAUAGUGGUGCACAUCUGUAGUCCCAGCUACUUGGGAGGCUGAGGUAAGAGAAUUGCUUGAGCUCAGGAGGUUGAGGCUGCAGUGAGCUGUGAUCCCACCACUGCACUCCAGCUUGGGGAGAGAGCAAGACUCUGCCUCCUCCACAUGCGCCCCCCACCCCUGCCCCUGCCAAAAAAUUGUUUGUGGAUCCCUGUUAUCAGAAUAAGGACAUUCCCUCAUAUUCCUAGUGUGAUGUGAGUUUUUAUCAUAAAAGGGAGUAGUAUUUUGUCAUGUCCAUUUUCUGCAUUGGUUGAAAUGAUCAUUUUGUUUUUCUCUUCAUUCUUUUAAUAGAUAAUUGUUUGAAUUUUGGUGUUAACCAGUGUUUCAUUCCUGAAGU